CCUACGGGAGGCAGCAGUGGGGAAUAUUGCACAAUGGGGGAAACCCUGAUGCAGCGACGCCGCGUGAGUGAAGAAGUAUUUCGGUACGUAAAGCUCUAUCAUCAGGGAAGAAAAUAUGGUACCUGAACUAAUAGCCCCCGGCAAAUACCUUACCGGAACCCGGGGGCUACCUAGGGGGCAAGCGUUACUCGGAUUUACUGGGGGGAAAGGGAGCGUUGAAGGCAGCGCAAGUCUGGAGUGAAAGCCCAUGGCUUAACCAUGGAACUGCUUUGGAAACUGUGCAGCCAGAGUGCAGGAGAGGUAAGCGGAAUUCCUAGUGUAGCGGUGAAAUGCGUAGAUAUUAGGAGGAACACCAGUGGCGAAGGCGGCUUACUGGACUGUAACUGACGUUGAGGCUCGAAAGCGUGGGGAGCAAACAGGAUUAGAUACCCCAGUAGUC
Molecule: ribosomal RNA, 439 nt
Filed under: uncultured bacterium
Lineage: Bacteria
Description: partial 16S ribosomal RNA
Rfam family: Bacterial small subunit ribosomal RNA
Source: RNAcentral